AUGGCGUACCAGUACCACCACCAGGACCACACGGCGGCCGCGCUGGGGAUGGACCCGGCGGCGGCGGCGGGGAACCCCGGCGGCGGCUUCGCGCCAGGCCUGGGCGCGGGCGCGCCCGGCGGGUGGGAGAGGGAGAAGGCGGCCAUCGAGGCGCACCCGCUGUACGAGCGGUUGCUGGAGGCGCACGUCGCCUGCCUGCGCGUCGCCACCCCCGUCGACCAGCUCCCGCGCAUCGACGCGCAGAUCGCCGCGUGCGCCCCGCCGCCCAUGACCCCCGCCGCCGCGCCCUCCGGCGGCGAGGAGCUCGACCUCUUCAUGGUGAGCUGCUACUACGAGGCCUCCUCGCCUCACGCCGGCCGCGUACGGACGCCCCGCGUCGGCUGGGCCGGGCUGCUCCGCGCGUGCUGUAUUUUGAACUGGCUGGGUGGCAGUGAAAGCCAGGACGCACUAUCUGAAGUUCUGGCUGGCAUCACGUCUCCCCUUGACACUGAGUUCUUUUGCAGAAGUGCUCAUUCUGCAGCUAUGUAUGCUGUCACCUCCAUGAUCUGCUAUGCUGAUGACCGCUACGUCUGCUUUGCUCGAGACGAGGACAAGUGGGUCAUAUAUGGCUUCGAGACUGUCGAGCCAACAGCAGCAGCAGAGGCAAUCAGUAGUCGAGGUGAUCGAGGGCAGAGGCAAUCAACAGACGAGGGCAGGUGGCAGUGGCAUCAGCAGGUCUGCGUGGUCAUCUCGUCGGCGGGGAAGAUCCGCCUGGCCCUGCCUGCCGAAUUCUUCAAGAGGGGAGCGGCGACCGGGGUCGGCAGCGGCGGCUGGGGUUGCCUCGGGGGUGAAGAACCGGCGAGCAGGGCCAGGGACGCGAGCAGGGCCACGAGGAGGAGGCGCCCGUCGAGGUGGUCGCCUUGGGGGAGCAGCCUCAGCUGGGCGGCGGGGCAGCUCGCCUCCGUGCGGACGGCCACGUUCGCAGCGGCGGGGCAGCUCGCCUCCGUGUGGACGACCCACAUUCGCAGCGGCGGAGCAACCGCAGGGUUCAUACCGAUAAAUCCUUCAGCCAAGCGGCCUUCUACAAGGAUAUGCGUGCAGCUUGGAACCCUGCGCAGCCGGAAUUUGCUUGUGUUGAUGGUUCCAUAUGAUGGGUUCACAAAGGCGGAGGAAGUGCCCAUGGUGUUUAUGCCAAUUUGGCUACAGAUUCACAAGAUUCCAGAGGGUUUCUGCAGGAAGAACAUUGUGGAAAAUCUGCUAAAAAACUCAGGUGAGAUCUUGGAGAUGAGACUAAAUGGAAAUACCCGUGGUGACUACAUUAGGGUUAGGGUUCGGCAUGAGGUUCGCCGGCCUCUCACCAAUGUAUGUGGGCUCAUUGGUCAUGACUGCAAAGAGUGCGGAUCAGGUGUGCAUGAGGAGAAGGACAAGAAGUAUGGCUCUUGGCUCUAUGCGGAUGGAUUGAAUAAACCCCCGUCCAAUGAUAGUUUUGGCCAGGGAAGGAGUCAGAAGCAACCUACACCUCAAUCUCAACAGCAGAAGUCGCCUGGAAAGACAGUGGUCGAUCCGGACAUCCUAGAUACGGCUACAAGCCCAGCCAAGGAAGGACACAUAUCCAAGCAUGGAGACCCGGUAGCUCGCAAAAGACUCUCUAUGGAUGAUGUAGCACCAGGGGCCAAUGCCUUGGCAAGGCCGAGUGGUCUGUUGACGCUCACACAGGGGAAGGGUGAGGAUGGAGAACAUGCCUCGCCUACAGUAGCACUAGCAGCAAGAGGGCUCGUGUUGACUCAAGCGGCCUCUUCGAAGAUGGAGAAACUAAAGUGGAGAUUGCAGAUGAAGGGUUUUGCUGGUGUCUCGAGUGAUGGUCUCAGUGGAGGACUUGCGCUCUUUUGGGAUGAGAAGUUGCAAGUGACAGUGUUGGAUUCCUGUGCACGGUACAUUGACGUGCGGAUUGUAGAUGUGGCAAGUGACAAGAUUUGGAGAACGACUUUUGUUUAUGGUGAACCUCGAGCUGAAAACCGUCAUCUCAUGUGGAGCUCACUCUCCCAGCUCCGUGCGCUCUCGUCGGAGUCGUGGUUAGUGUGUGGCGACUUCAACGAGGCGAUGUGGCAGCAUGAGCAUAUGUCUAGAUCCCAGCGCUCUGAAAAUCAGAUGGGGCUAUUCUGGGACUGUUUGUUGGCAUGCGAACUGUGGGACCUCGGUUUCUCGGGGUAUCCUUUUACAUAUGAUAAUGGACAGCUUGGUGAGAGGAACGUGCGAGUUCGCCUUGACCGGGCAUGUGCGGAUGAGAGUUGGAGGGAGCUUUUCCCUGCCGCGCAAGUUGUUCACCUGGCAUCUUCAUGUUCUGACCAUUGCCCGAUCUUGGUUCAGCUUGCUCUCGUGGAUCCGAGGAGGACUAGAGCCUCUCCUCGGUAUGAGAUCGUGUGGGAACGCCACCCGGCACUGUCAGAGGUGGUGGCGAGUAGAUGGAGGAAGAGUAAACCAGCCGGCAAUCUGGCAGCCGUGCGGGACGCCCUGCAUGAAAUGAUGAAUGGCCUUCGGGCGUGGAGUAAGGAGAACUUCGGUCAUGCUGCUACAGAAUUGGAGAAGUUAAGGGCGGAGCUGGCUGAUUUACAACUAAAAGAUGCGGACAGAACGUUGAUCCGUCAGAAGAUGUUUCAGCUUGAUGAGCUGGAAGAGAUGAUGUGGUUACAGAGAUCGCGCAUUACGUGGCUGAAGGAAGGAGAAAGGAACACGGCAUACUUGCAUAGGCGAGCUUUGUGGCGUGCGCGAAGGAAUUACAUAUAG
Molecule: ribosomal RNA, 2763 nt
Filed under: Triticum aestivum (bread wheat)
Lineage: Eukaryota; Viridiplantae; Streptophyta; Magnoliopsida; Poales; Poaceae
Description: partial small subunit ribosomal RNA
Source: RNAcentral